AUUGAACGCUGGCGGCAUGCUUAACACAUGCAGGUCGAACGGCAGCAUGGUCUAGUUUACUAGACUGAUGGCGAGUGGCGGACGGGUGAGUAACGCGUAGGAAUAUACCUUAAAGAGGGGGAUAACUUGGGGAAACUCAAGCUAAUACCGCGUAAGCUCUGAGGAGUAAAGCUGGGGACCUUCGGGCCUGGCGCUUUAAGAAUAGCCUGCGUCCGAUUAGCUAGUUGGUAGGGUAAAGGCCUACCAAGGCGACGAUCGGUAGCUGGUCUGAGGGGAUGAUCAGCCACACUGGGACUGGGACACGGCCCAGACUCCUACGGGAGGCAGCAGUGGGGAAUAUUGGACAAUGGGGGGAACCCUGAUCCAGCAAUGCCGCGUGUGUGAAGAAGGCCUGAGGGUUGUAAAGCACUAUCAGUUGGGAGGAGGAGAGUAGGGUUAAUAGUCCUAUUUGAAGACGUUACCGACAGAAGAAGCACCGGCUAACUCCGUGCCAGCAGCCGCAGUAA
RNAcentral lists this ribosomal RNA (506 nucleotides) under uncultured bacterium. Its description in RNAcentral is "partial 16S ribosomal RNA". It matches the Rfam family "Bacterial small subunit ribosomal RNA", at positions 30 to 523 of the family's 1533-position model. The record is from RNAcentral.